GUUUUGAAUUCUUGGGUUCCUGUGAUCUUCCUGCCUCGGCCUCCCAAAGUGCUGGAUUGCAGGGUAAUCACUUUGAUCAAUAUGAAGAGGGACACUUGGAAAUUGAACAAGCAUCACUUGAUAAGCCUACGGAAUCCAUAAGAUGAUCGUUGCUUAAUUUUGGGUCUUAACCAGUUAGGGGUAAGAAAGUUGUAAAUAGACGCUGAGCACUGGGGUAAGGGAAUGCUUUUCCUGGCAGUUCAUUUGGGAGGAUAAUAUUGGACACUGCUUACUCCAGAAACAUGGGUGGAAGCUGGGCCAGGGAUUGGGAAAAUCUUUUCAAGAUUUCAUCCCACUUUAAAAUACCAAUGCUUCUCAUGGAAAAACAAAGAGAUUCCACUAACUCACAGACACCUGUGCUCCAUGUAUCUAUCAGCAAGUAUAGCUGCAUGGACAGACAAUAGUUGCUUGCUUCUUUAU
Long non-coding RNA from Piliocolobus tephrosceles (Ugandan red Colobus), 459 nucleotides. RefSeq lists it as uncharacterized. The transcript is spliced from 5 exons. The record is from RefSeq and is a predicted model, not a curated record. Lineage: Eukaryota; Metazoa; Chordata; Mammalia; Primates; Cercopithecidae.